Cercophora newfieldiana is the source of this 108-nucleotide non-coding RNA. The record is from the annotation of a GenBank genome assembly. NCBI's taxonomy places the organism in Eukaryota, Fungi, Ascomycota, Sordariomycetes, Sordariales, Lasiosphaeriaceae.
GGGCGUGUGGCUCAGUUGGUAGAGCGUUCGCUUAGCAUACUACAAAACACUCCGACAUGAGUCAAUUCUGUAUGCGAAAGGUCCUGGGUUCGAUUCCCAGCUCGUCCA